UAACGUGUCUCCUAUUUUUAGGGA
This 24-nucleotide microRNA is filed under the name Populus trichocarpa (black cottonwood). Its description in RNAcentral is "ptc-miR478i". Its record names the gene ptc-miR478h. The record is from miRBase by way of RNAcentral. RNAcentral also lists the same sequence under 1 other name. Lineage: Eukaryota; Viridiplantae; Streptophyta; Magnoliopsida; Malpighiales; Salicaceae.